UACAGAGGUCCCAAGCGUUGUUCGGAAUUACUGGGCGUAAAGGGCUCGUAGGCGGCCAACUAAGUCAGACGUGAAAUCCCUCGGCUUAACCGGGGAACUGCGUCUGAUACUGGAUGGCUUGAGUUUGGGAGAGGGAUGCGGAAUUCCAGGUGUAGCGGUGAAAUGCGUAGAUAUCUGGAGGAACACCGGUGGCGAAGGCGGCAUCCUGGACCAACACUGACGCUGAGUGAGCGAAAGCCAGGGGAGCAAACGGG
Molecule: ribosomal RNA, 254 nt
Filed under: uncultured bacterium
Lineage: Bacteria
Description: partial 16S ribosomal RNA
Rfam family: Bacterial small subunit ribosomal RNA
Source: RNAcentral